AAGUCCGGCAGUGUGGGCACAUCGAAUUGCAAAUCCGAAGACGCCGUUUUUACUUCGGCCCGGACU
Molecule: transfer RNA, 66 nt
Filed under: Hoplodactylus sp. Cromwell
Lineage: Eukaryota; Metazoa; Chordata; Lepidosauria; Squamata; Diplodactylidae
Also listed under: 1 other name
Description: tRNA-Cys
Source: RNAcentral